UAGGGAAUCUUCGGCAAUGGGGGCAACCCUGACCGAGCAACGCCGCGUGAGUGAAGAAGGUUUUCGGAUCGUAAAGCUCUGUUGUAAGAGAAGAACGAGUGUGAGAGUGGAAAGUUCACACUGUGACGGUAACUUACCAGAAAGGGACGGCUAACUACGUGCCAGCAGCCGCGGUAAUACGUAGGUCCCGAGCGUUAUCCGGAUUUAUUGGGCGUAAAGCGAGCGCAGGCGGUUAGAUAAGUCUGAAGUUAAAGGCUGUGGCUUAACCAUAGUACGCUUUGGAAACUGUUUAACUUGAGUGCAGAAGGGGAGAGUGGAAUUCCAUGUGUAGCGGUGAAAUGCGUAGAUAUAUGGAGGAACACCGGUGGCGAAAGCGGCUCUCUGGUCUGUAACUGACGCUGAGGCUCGAAAGCGUGGGGAGCAAACAGGAUUAGAUACCCUGGUAGUCCACGCCGUAAACGAUGAGUGCUAGGUGUUGGGUCCUUUCCGGGACUCAGUGCCGUAGCUAACGCAUUAAGCACUCCGCCUGGGGAGUACGACCGCAAGGUUG
This 550-nucleotide ribosomal RNA is filed under the name uncultured bacterium. Its description in RNAcentral is "bacterial SSU rRNA". It matches the Rfam family "Bacterial small subunit ribosomal RNA", at positions 355 to 896 of the family's 1533-position model. The record is from RNAcentral.